Molecule: non-coding RNA, 1161 nt
Organism: Pimephales promelas (fathead minnow)
Lineage: Eukaryota; Metazoa; Chordata; Actinopteri; Cypriniformes; Leuciscidae
Source: RefSeq, a predicted model, not a curated record
UCAGUCAAAUGAGGAUCUCACACACUUUCUGAACUCCAGCUCAGACUCAACAACACUCUUUCAUUUCCACGAGCUCAACAACGGCACACAGGAUGAGAUCUGCGGUUUUCCUCGUUCUCCUCGUCUCUCUGAUGUUCACUGAUGGAUUGGAUGAAUGUGUCAUAUACAGAAAUGAUCAGUGUGAAAAGAUUAACAAUUCUCCCUGCCUAGCAACUUUGAAUAACAAUGCUUAUGCUCAGUUUAAACGCAAACAUAUUCUCUCAGAUGUUUUCGAUACAAACAGUCUAAUGGAUUGGUCAAACUACCUAAUAAAGCAGAAACUUUGUGGCACUGACAGACCUUCUCAACAGUCCUUUGUCCACAACGAGAAUAGCAUUAUAAAUAUCUGCAAUGGAGGAGGCAUCAGAUUCAGAGACGGAGACACAAAUUCAUACAAAGACAACCUGUGCACCAGCAGAGCGACGUUCACAGUGUACAUCGUCACAAAAAUACAGCAGUGGAAGCCGUGUGUAGUUGUGGAUGUAAAAGUGAUUCAGAGCUAUGUGGUUGUAGCUUGUGAUGUCGUUGUUAACCAGUGUUUGCCUGUUCACUAUCAGACACAAACUAACACACCGCCAGAUCAAAAUGAUGAGACCUGCCAGCCGCCGACAUAUUGGCAUCAUGAUUACAUUGAGGUUGAAGAGCAUUCGCCCUAUAGGUAGACUUUAGUUGUGUUUAAAAGUGAAGUUAGUUGGAAAUCAUUCCUAGUUAAUCUCGGAUGUUUCACAUAAGCGUCAUUAUCCAAGACGAAUGCAAACAUGUUCAUAAGCUUCACUUCUAUCGUCUAACAUCACUUACAACUGAUUAUAGUCCUUUCAGCUCUGAGAUUCUCGUUUAUUUUUAUGAACGCUUCAUAUAAUCUGGUCAUUCGUGAAUCAGUGAAUGUGGAUUUGUUGUUCUUCUGUUUCUUCUGUUUGAGAAAUUUUAGCUGUUUAUUUCUGUUUUCAGUUCAAAUGAUGAAUGUUAGCAAUUGCUAUGCUUUUCCAUGUGUCAUUUUGAGAACUUAACUAUUUUUACAGCUGUUUUGUUUCCUUUAACACUUCAACUGUGUAAGGCAUGUGUGUUGUUAUGGUUUUACAAAACCAAAUUUGUGGUGAAAAUAAACCAUCUUACUGUCUGUCA